UCAGAGAAGAAUUUUGACGGUAUUUGAGGAAUAAGCAUCGGCUAACUCUGUGCCAGCAGCCGCGGUAAGACAGAGGAUGCAAGCGUUAUCCGGAAUGAUUGGGCGUAAAGCGUCUGUAGGUGGUUUACCAAGUCUUCUGUCAAAGAUCAGGGCUUAACUCUGGGCAGGCAGGAGAAACUAUUAGACUAGAGUUCGGUAGGGGCAGAGGGAAUUCCCGGUGGAGCGGUGAAAUGCGUAGAUAUCGG
RNAcentral lists this ribosomal RNA (245 nucleotides) under uncultured phototrophic eukaryote. RNAcentral's name for it is "partial 16S ribosomal RNA". It matches the Rfam family "Bacterial small subunit ribosomal RNA", at positions 439 to 700 of the family's 1533-position model. The record is from RNAcentral.